AUAAAUAUGAUUCUUUGAAUAACGUUUAGUGAAAAAAGAAAAGCUCAAGAGGAAAAUCGUUAUAAAGCGAAUUGUCUUGUUGGAAAACGUACUAAAAAAGACUGACUUUGCAUAGUGAAAAGUAAGCAGGAAAGCUUUCCCAUAGAGGGUGAAAGGCCCGUAAUUAUGCAAUGUUUUAUUUUUUGAUAUGUUUAAUCUUAGAAUUGUGCUUUUUAAAAUAAAAGCACGAAAACGUAUGAUAGAUUUCAUAUAAAGCUAAAUAUAUGUAGGAGACCGAUAGCAAACAAGUACCGUGAGGGAAAGAUGAAAUAGAACUCAGGAAUGAGCAAUUAAAAAGUACCUGAAAUCGUUAAGAUAAAACGGAUUAUAAUGGAAAAAUAGAAUGAGAAGGUAAGGAAUAUUUUCCUUUGGGGAAAUGUUCCUUUCUUCUUAUUUUAAAAGAAAAGAGAGUGAGAUAGGUAAUAAGACAGAACAAUUUUUGUGGAAUUAGGUAAUUUUAUCUUUUUCUAUAAUAACAAAAAUACGUGUUUUUAUUAAACUCAUCUCUGAAUGGGAAAAUUAUCUAACUUACUUAAUUAACAAUGGUAAAAAAUGAAUUCAUUUUUUACUUAUUAGGUCUUUUCUAAAAGUAACUAUUAUAACCCAUUCGUCUUGAAACACGAACCAAGGAGUCUAACAAAUGUGCAAGUAUGUGGAUGAAAUUUUUAUAAUGAAAAAAAAAUAACGCAUACUUUAAUGUAGUAAAAUAACAUUAAAAUUUAGUAGAAGAGAUCGCACGAGGGAAAUGAUAUGGGCGCUCUGCAUGCUAUACUAGUCAACAAUAUAAUGUAUUGAGUACGAGCAUGUUUGUUAGGACCCGAGAGGCUUUGAACUAUGCGUGACGAGAUCUAAGUCAGACGAAAGUCUGUUGGAAGAUUGAAUUGAUAUAGACGUGUGAAAGCGUUCUUACGAGUUACGUUUAGGGGUGAAAGACUAAUCGAAAAGCCUAUUAGCUGGUUAUUUUCGAAAGAUCUCUCAAGAUCGCUGGAGUUGUUUGUGAUAUAGUUUUUCUAAUGGAGACAAAUAUGAGAAAAAUCAGGGUAUUUUUUUAUACUCGACUUGAAAUGUACUCAAAGUCGCCAAUUAGUAAUAGGUACAAAAAGUACAUUUGGCAUUUUUAGCCUUAUAUGCUUAAAACAACAAAUAGGAUAACUCCAAGUGGGGCCAUUUUUGGUAAUCAAAAACUGCCGAUGAGGGAUGCACCUAACGCUUGGAUAAGGUGCCUAAAUAUUUGCUAAUUAGAUACCAUAAUAGGUGUUGGUUUAUAAUGACAGUAGGACGGUAAUCUGGGAAGUAGAAAACCGCUAAGGAAUGUGUAGCAACUCACCUACCGAAUUAACUAGCCCUGAAAAUGGAUGGCGCUAAAGCAAAUUACCGAUACCAAGCCAUAGAUACAUAUAAUCAGACAUAUGGUAUCAUAUAAUAAAUUUAUAUUGAACCUAAGUCAUGUUGCUAUGAGUAGAAAAUCGUGGGGUUUGUAUUGAAGCGAGAUACGUGAGUUCUUGUGGAACAUACUCUAGUGCAGAUCUUGGUGGAAGUAGCAAUUAUUCAAAUGAGAACUUUGAAGACUAAAGUGGAGAAGGGUUUCUUGUCAACUGUAAUAGUACAAGAGUUAGCCGUUCCUAAGAGAAAACUGAAUAGUGUUUUUGUGGGAAAUUUAACGCGUUCUCAGUACGCGUGUAUUGCAUCCCUAUCUCGAAAGGGAAACAGGUUGAUAUUCCUGUGCCAAUGUAUUUUGAGUAAUAUUAAAGAUGGUAACAUAUAUAUAAAUGAACUCCUUCACGUAGGCCUUACGCUCGGGGUGCGUUUUCUUUGCACUUUAACUCUAUAGCUAACCUUGGAAUCAAUUUACUUGGAGAAAAGGUUUGCCGAAACAAUUCAGGAAAACUAUUUAGUGUAACUUUACGUUUUGCUUUUUAGAUAUCCUGUUUUGUAGUAAAAGUAAUUCGUUUUUAUGAAUUAUCCGAAGUAGUAAGGACUACCCUUGAAAAGAGGAGGGAACAGCAAAUAGUAGAAAAAAAUGGUCUCGGUUAUAUCCUUGAUUUUGAACCUGCAUUUGUAUACUCUAAAUAUCAAUAAGAGCGUACCGAUCACCGCAUAAGGUCUCCAAGGUUAAUAGCCUCUGGUUAAAUAGGAUAAAGUAGGUAAGGGAAGUCGGCAAAAUAUAGAUCCGUAACUUCGGGAAAAGGAUUGGCUCUGAGAACAUUAGAAUAGAGAAGAAGGAAAAUGUUUAAAAAUAAAGAUUGGAUAUAUAUAAUUCUUGCAGAAUUCGUUUUCUUAUGGUUUAAUGUCUUUCCAUAAUUUGUUUUUCUUAUGUUUAACUUUCUCUUUAUUCGCCUUCAUUCGUAUUUUUGCGUUUCGGCGUAUUGUUUACUUUUGAUACUAAUAAUGUUAAAUCAGAACUGAAACGGACAAAGGGAAUCUUAAUGUUUAAUUAAAACAUAGCAUUGUGACAAAACCAUCACUGGUAUUGUAUACACAAUGUGAUUUCUGCCCAGUGCUUUGAAUGUCAACUUGAUGAAAUUCAAUAAAGCGAAGGUUAACGGCGGGAGUAACUAUGACUCUCUUAAGAUAACCAAAUGCUUCGUCAUUUAAUUUGUGACGAUGCAUGAACAGAUUAAAGAGAUUCCCACUGUCCCUACUUGCUAUCUAGCGAAACCACAACCAAGGAAACGGGCUUGGUAAAAUCAGCGGGGAAAGAAGACCCUGUUGAGCUUUACUCUAGUCUGGCUUUGUGAAACGACUUAAGAGGUGUAGUAUAAGUGGGAGUAAGAAAAUGAAAUACUUUUUUUACAACAGUGAAAUACCACUACUUUUAAAGUUGUUUUACUUAUCCAUUUAUAGGGAGAUAUAGAAUUCGUUUCGUAUACGAAAUGUUUUUAUAUUAUUAUGAAUUAAUAGGCGUUGCUAUAUAGUAUUCGCUUUUCUUCCAUCUGUAUGGAGACAUAGCCAGGUGGGGAGUUUGACUGGGGCGGUACAUCCGUUAAAAAAUAACGCAGAUGUCCAAAGACANNNNNNNNNNNNNNNNNNNNNNNNNNNNNNNNNNNNNNNNNNNNNNNNNNNNNNNNNNNNNNNNNGUGGGAGUAGAAAAUGAAAUAUGUUUUUACGACAGUGAAAUACCACUACUUUUAAAGUUGUUUUACUAAUCUGUUUAUAAGGAGAUAUAAAAGUAUGUUUUCCUUGCGGAAAAUUUUCAUACUGUUCUGUAUUUAUAAGCGGUUCUGCUUAGUAUUACGCUAGUAGUCUGCUUUGCUCUUUAUUUAUGGAGACAUAGCCAGGUGGGGAGUUGGAUUCGGGCCGUAUAUCUGUUUAAUAACGAAGAUGUACAAAGACAAGCUCAAAGAGUACAGAAAUCUCUUGUAGACUAAAAGUGGAAAAAGCUUGUUUAAUUUCUAUUUUCAUAAAAAGUAGAAAACGUGAAAGCGUGGCCUAUCAAUCCUUUAUGUUUGCAAAAUUUACGGAAUUUAUCUUCCUAUUUGUGCAUACUUAGAGGUGUUUGAAAAAGUUACCACAGGGAUAACUGGCUUGUGGCUGCCAAGCGUUCUUAGCGACGUAGCUUUUUGAUAUUUCGAUGUCAGUUCUUCCUAUCAUUGAGACGCAGAAGUCUCAAAGUGUCGGAUUGUUCACCCGCUAAUAGGGAACGUGAGCUGGGUUUAGACCGUCGUGAGACAGGUUAGUUUUACCCUACUGAUGAAUAUCAUUAUUCUUAUGUAUAUGUUGUAUUGUGACAGUAAUCCAACUUGGUACGAGAGGAUUAGUUGGUUCAGACAAUUGGUACAGCAAUUGGUUGACAAAACAGCGUUGCGAAGCUAAGUCUGUUGGUAAAUGGCUGAAAACCUCUUAAGCCAGAAACCAUGCUGAUUAAACAAUACUAUUUCGUUCUUUUUUGUUUUUUUUUACUAAUGUAAAAGAGAAAUAAUAUAUGUAUUUCUUUCGAAAUGCAUAAAUAAUCCUAAAACCUUUUUCUCCUAGGCUGUUGGUUCGUGAACUGUGUAUUUAUGAUGCAAAUUGUGAAUUUAUAGUUUUUGAGCUACUUAUGUUUGGGAACUUGGUUAUACUUAAUUUAACUACAAAAAAAGAAAUAAACACAAACUGUAGACGACUUAUAUUGCCUCAGGGUGCUAUAAACAUGAAAGUAAA
This 4179-nucleotide ribosomal RNA is filed under the name Plasmodium ovale (malaria parasite P. ovale). RNAcentral's name for it is "eukaryotic LSU rRNA". It matches the Rfam family "Eukaryotic large subunit ribosomal RNA". The record is from RNAcentral. Lineage: Eukaryota; Apicomplexa; Aconoidasida; Haemosporida; Plasmodiidae.